Molecule: unclassified non-coding RNA, 402 nt
Filed under: uncultured Cortinarius
Lineage: Eukaryota; Fungi; Basidiomycota; Agaricomycetes; Agaricales; Cortinariaceae
Description: sequence contains ITS2
Rfam family: 5.8S ribosomal RNA (bases 1-154)
Source: RNAcentral
AACUUUUCACAACGGGUCACGUGGCUCUCGCAUCUAUGAAGAACGCAGAGAAAUGCGAUAAGUAAUGUGAAUUGCAGAAUUCAGUGAAUCAUCGAAUCUUUGAACGCACCUUGCGCUCCUUGGUAUUCCGAGGAGCAUGCCUGUUUGAGUGUCAUUAAUAUAUAUCAAACUUCUCUUGUUGAGUUGUUUGGAUGUGGGGGUUUGCUGGCCUCUUAAAGGGGUUCAGCUCUCCUGAAAUGCAAUAGCAGAACAACCUGUUCAUUGGUGUGAUAAACUAUCUACGCUAUUGAAUGUGAAGGGAAGUUCAGCUUUCUAACAGUCUUUGGACAAAUUCAUCAUUAAUGUGACCUCAAAUCAGGUGGGACUACCCGCUGAACUUAAGCAUAUCAAUAAGCGGAGGCU